This 125-nucleotide ribosomal RNA is filed under the name Chlamydomonas reinhardtii. Lineage: Eukaryota; Viridiplantae; Chlorophyta; Chlorophyceae; Chlamydomonadales; Chlamydomonadaceae. The record is from RNAcentral.
UGUUACGGCCGGAAAGCCUCUGUGAAUGACGCACCCGAUCCCAUCAGAACUCGGAAGUGCUACACAGAGGGCCCGAUAAGUACCAGCUUGACGAAAGUCGCUGGGAAUCCCGGGUGCUGUAGCGU